AUUGAACGCUGGCGGCAGGCCUAACACAUGCAAGUCGAACGGUAACAGGAAGCAGCUUGCUGCUUCGCUGACGAGUGGCGGACGGGUGAGUAAUGUCUGGGAAGCUGCCUGAUGGAGGGGGAUAACUACUGGAAACGGUAGCUAAUACCGCAUAAUGUCGCAAGACCAAAGAGGGGGACCUUCGGGCCUCUUGCCAUCGGAUGUGCCCAGAUGGGAUUAGCUUGUUGGUGGGGUAACGGCUCACCAAGGCGACGAUCCCUAGCUGGUCUGAGAGGAUGACCAGCCACACUGGAACUAGGACACGGUCCAGACUCUUCCGGCAGGCAGCAGUGGGGAAUAUUGCACAAUGGGCGCAAGCCUGAUGCAGCCAGGCCGCGUGUAUGAAGAAGGCCUUCGGGUUGUAAAGUACUUUCAGCGGGGAGGAAGGGAGUAAAGUUAAUACCUUUGCUCAUUGACGUUACCCGCAGAAGAAGCACCGGCUAACUCCGUG
RNAcentral lists this ribosomal RNA (490 nucleotides) under uncultured bacterium. Its description in RNAcentral is "partial 16S ribosomal RNA". It matches the Rfam family "Bacterial small subunit ribosomal RNA", at positions 30 to 507 of the family's 1533-position model. The record is from RNAcentral.